This 349-nucleotide unclassified non-coding RNA is filed under the name soil metagenome. Its description in RNAcentral is "partial contains 5.8S ribosomal RNA, internal transcribed spacer 2, and large subunit ribosomal RNA". The stretch from base 1 to 120 matches the Rfam family "5.8S ribosomal RNA", at positions 35 to 154 of the family's 154-position model. The record is from RNAcentral.
GAUGAAGAACGUAGCGAAAUGCGAUAAGUAAUGUGAAUUGCAGAAUUCAGUGAAUCAUCGAAUCUUUGAACGCACAUUGCGCCCGCCAGUAUUCUGGCGGGCAUGCCUGUCCGAGCGUCAUUUCAACCCUCGAACCCCUCCGGGGGGUCGGCGUUGGGGAUCGGCACUUACCUGCCGGCCCCGAAAUACAGUGGCGGUCUCGCCGCAGCCUCUCCUGCGCAGUAGUUUGCACACUCGCACCGGGAGCGCGGCGCGGCCACAGCCGUAAAACACCCCAAGCAUUCUGAAAUGUUGACCUCGGAUCAGGUAGGAAUACCCGCUGAACUUAAGCAUAUCAAUAAGCGGAGGA